RNAcentral lists this long non-coding RNA (5899 nucleotides) under Canis lupus familiaris (dog). Its description in RNAcentral is "lncRNA (ENSCAFG00000052461.1, ENSCAFG00845009870.1)". The record is from RNAcentral. Lineage: Eukaryota; Metazoa; Chordata; Mammalia; Carnivora; Canidae.
UGUUGCUUUCACGAUACACAUUUCACAUUUUUAAUAGAGAUAAAUCUCUCAGGCUUGUUCUUGUGCUUUCUUUUAUCUCUUCAUAUUUUGGAAGGGAUCCCUCUGGCCAAGGUGCUCUUGCAUUAUUCUCAAGCUUAUCUUAAUUUUUAUGUUCAACUACUGGGUUCACCUGGAACAUAGUUUAUUGGAUAAUAGAAGACAUAGAUCUGAAUGACCUUUUCUAAAGGUUGUUGGGAAUCUGGUUAUUAAGUAUUUCUCUCCCUAUUGCUCUGUAGUAAUGACUGCAUCCCACAUUCAAAUCACAAAUACAAUUUUAUCAAUUUCUAGAGCUUUUCCUCCUAUUUAAGUCCUAUUUUCCCUUUACCUAGCGAUGCAUAAACAUUCUAACACGGUAUAUAUCUGGGACUAACUUCACCUCAUCACUUUUCUUCUUUAGUCACAUUUCUGGUAUCCUGUGAUUUUCUUUUUUUCAGAACGCUUUAGAAUGAUUUUGUCAAGAGUCUAGCAGAUUUUUUUAAUUUUUAAACUUAUAAAUUAACUUACUAAAAAUUUGCAGUCUUUACAAUAUUCAUUCUUCCAUUCAGGAAAUGUUUCUCUGUUCAUUCAUGCUUCAAGCAUGAAUGUGUUGUAGUUUUAUUUAUGCAAGUCACAGUGAUCCUCUAAUAAUUAAGCUCAUUCCUAAGUAUUUUAUAUCUUUGUCACUAUAGUAAAUGAGAUUUUUUUCAUUAUGUUCUUCUGUCACUUAUUAGUGAUACACCAAAAUCUCUAUUCGAUAGAGCUGAUGUAAGUAACAGCCCUUUGAAGAAUGUUUCUGUAUCUUUGGCAAAACUAUCAUGAAAACAUUGUUCAUGAUGUCAUCUCAAGUACCUUUAAGCAAUAAAUUCCUUCCAGAGGUCAGAAAAAACAAGUCGUCUUUUCUUUUUUCCUAAGACAAACUUAACCCAAUGACAAAGGCUCUCUAAGUCUUUAAUUUUUUGUCUUAGCAGCCAAGAUAUUAAAAGCUUAAGUUCAUGUUUAACUGCAUAAAUGAAUUAAACUUAGAUGGCUGGCACACACAUCUUUCUGUUCCUUUUAAUUGGUUUUCGUUUUAUGCGUAUUUUUAAUUGUCCUAUUUUAAUUCUGUAAUCCACCUCAAAUUGUCUUUGGAGGUAGGCAGUUAGCCUAGGAAGGUUAUGUACCUUAAUAUGCACAUUCACAAGUAAUUAAGCUAUAUGAUAAUUGAAUAGUAUUGUUCAUCUGUUCCUAAUUAUAUAUGCUAAAAACGAAGUAAUCAACCUUUUCCCUUCAGGACACACUGUAAAUCUAUCCCUUUGUAUCCCACUUAAGAAAGCCUCACAGAACAUGAGAGGGAACCCACAGGUCACCUUGAGUCCACUUUAAUUUAAAGACAAAUAUAAUCAUUUUUCAUAAACUUGUGCUACUUCUGACAUUUUUAAUAAGAAAUCACUUAAUGAUACAACUUAAUAACUGUUCAAAGUGGAGCAAACAGCAUGUCAUGGAGACAUAUUCAGGACACACAAGGGUGAGAAGUGGUGAAAAAUAGUUUUGGAGGAGUUCCCUGACAAGGUAAAGUAACUCAUGCACAGUUCCUAAAUAACUUCCGAGGUCUUCAUCAUACCCUUGGCAAAAUUAGCAGCUUAUUAUCCUAAGUUCUGAUCACCCUUUCUUUUUACUCUGUGUCCUCCUGGAAGUCUCUCCUGCCCUUGCCGACCACACCCCUCUAUUUAGCAGGUUCCUACUUCACCUGUUCUAGCACAUCCCUUGUUAUAAUUGUAAAACUGUCCAGUGUUAAGUCUGUCUGUAAAGUCCUUGAGAACAGGGCAAAUGUCUGAUUCACCUUUUAUUUCCAGUGCCUAGCCAGCACCUGGCACUUCCAACCUACUCACACUGGAUCUUAGCUGAACAGAUUGCUCUCUCCCAUCCAAAAGGAGUUUUUUUGUUAUCUUGGCUUUUUUUUUUUUUAAUCAGCAGGGCCUUAGCCACCUCUGCAUGCCCAAACUUGUGCAAUUACUAAAAGUUAAGUAUAAGAACUUAAAUACUGGUUGUUUGCCCACCCACCUUUCUGUACCUUGCUAGUCUAUAGAUUUCUUGGACCACUUUUGGACCUUCAUUCCAAAACCCUUCCUUGGUCCCUGGUCCCUCUUGACCUCUCUGAUACUUCAAAGUCACAAACACCAGUAUAAUGUAUUGUACUGCCUUCAGCCCCUCUCCAGAAAAACAGAGGAUAUCAGUUUCUAAAUAAAUGUAAAUAGCUCUCUCAAUGUGGAAAGAAUCAAGCUUUAGACAAAACACAGCCCCAUCUAUCUAUGAAUGAGCCCCUUUCGACAUAUAAGCAAUGCAUAACCUUCUGGAAAUCAUAAUUAUCCCCUCCCAGUCCAUCUCAUGAAAACCACAAGUGGUUUGAAAUGGUCAAACCCUCCUUUAUAAAUGCGAGCUGUCUCCUUGAGAAACCUUUAUUUCUCAGAAACCUAUCUACUCACAUACUGACAUAUGAUCUGCUGAGUCAUGGUUUGUUUCCAGAUUCUGGGGCCCAGCUCUCAGCCAGUGGUCAAGAUUUUAUUUCCUGUGAGGUCAUCUGUCCACUGGAAAAUCUCGUGUAUCUGGCAAAAUACAGGGACAGAGCUUUCCCUCACAAGGGAGGUUUGCAGAUAAGAGAAUUUCGGCCCCUUUGAUAACAAAGCUUAAAAUGUCUAAAUGCUUUUAGAAAAAACUUUACAAAUAUCAUUCCCAUUACCGCUUUCAUAAAAAGAGAAUGUUGAACAAAACUGUGUCUUGAUAACUGUGAUUGAGUGAUAAACAUAACAAUAGCGGAAGUCAUAGGCCCUAACUUUUCAUGGAAUGCUGCACUCUGACCUCCCUACAUGGGAGUUCCGAUGCCCCUAAUGGGACAUUGAAGGAUAGAGAGCCAAAGUGCAUAUCAUUCUUUGCCACCCUUGACCCAUGGUGCUAUCACCACUGACUUCCCGACCCCCAGCACUAGGCUCCUUACUUUCCUCUUCAAUUCCAUUAUUCUUGGCUUCAACAUUUACAUGAAUAAUCCACCCAACAUCCUGUCCCCACCAUUCUCCUUCUUAACUCUAGAGAUCACAUCUUGCCCUACCUCAGCCUCUCUUCCCAUAGAUCACACAAGUUGCAGCACCCACUCCAGCAUGUGAACCUCACACACGCUGUCCUCUAAGCAUCAUCUCCUACAGUCCAGCGCUCUUAUCCCGCAGUCCAGCUCCCCUCCUACAGAUCCCCAGACAGACCUAUGGUAUCAACCCUAACACACACCCUCUAACUUUGCCUACCUCCUAACCAGCCUGGAUUACAUGAUCUGGCACCAUAAAUGCCUCCCUGCAAACAUAACUCUCCUGCCCCUCCAUUGGUAAAACCCCAACCCUGGUCAAAUACCCUAUGCACUUAUCUCAUGCCUCCACCAGAGCAGCUUAAUGUUGCUGAAGAAAAUCACAGAACAUUGCUGGCAGGGCCGGUUUCAAAUUUAUAAUCAUGUCUCAAAACACAACUGAAUACUGCCAGACGGCUUACUUCCUAGGAAAUUUGUUUCCCCAACUUCUGAGAUAAUUACACCUUCUCUGCUCUCUUCAAGUUUCCAACAUUCCUUCCUCUCUGCUCCCCUCUCAACUAGUGACCUUGCUUUGUACAUCACAGAGAAAAGAGAUGCAAUCGGAUUAGAACGACCUCAUCUUUCAACCAACAGUUCACCAGCCUUCCUAUAUCUGUACUCAAAUACUAUGCCUUCAUUUCUGUUAAAAAGAGAAGAAGAUAGAUGAGAUCUUGUGUUCCACGAUUGGAUCAUCUGUCAUUGUCUUAAAAACAUCGCUCUUACAAUCACCCAUCUUUGCUUUAUCAUUGCUGUUAGCAUUCAAACAUGGCUUAGGGCCUCUUGCAAGGUUGCAGUCUCUGAAGACUAGACAGGGGCUGGAGGACCCUCUGCCAAGUUCACUCACCCUGCUGCCAGCAGGAGGCUUCAGUUCCUUGCCAAGUAAGCCUCUCUGUAGGGUGCUCAGAAUACAACUUUACCCAGAGCAAGUGAUGAGAGGGGGUGGGUGUGAGAGGGGUGGAGGGCCGAGGAGAUCACCAACAUAGAAGCCACAGUCUUUUUAUAACCUAACAUCUGAAGUGGCAUCUUAUCCCUUUGGUUGUGUUCCCUUCAUUAGAAUCAAGUCACUAAAGUCAAUCCUGGGCAUAAGUAUCAGAGAAUUUCUGGUCAUAUUUGUAAAACUAUCACUUUAAGAACUGAAGGUAAUUCUAGAGGGCACCUGGCUGACUUAGUUGGUAGAAUAUGUGAUUCUUGAUCUCUAGGUCAUGAGUAAAAGCCCCGUGUUUGGUAUAGAAAUUACUUAAAAAUAAAAUCUUAAAAAAAAACUUAAGGUAAUUCUAAAUGUGAUACUGAACCAAAAAUAAUCUUCUCAGUCCAGCAUAUAUUUCAAGCUGCCUAUAAGCUAUCCUACAUCCAUCCCAAUAUCACCCUCUCUUCAGCCAAUUCAAACUCUUUAUUAUGCACCUGUUUAUUACUGGAAAAAUUCAUACAUACAAAACCAUGAAUUGACUUAAAUGUUAUGAUAUAAAUAUUUCCAAGUCAUUUUUUCCAUGCCUUACAAAAUUGUGAUUUCAUUCCUUGAGAGCCAAGACCAAGUCUUCUCCCUCAUCUCUGUCCUCCACAGUGCCCAGUAGCUAUAUACAAUCAUGAAUCAUGCAAGCAAGCAAGUCAGCUAGCUAUAGAAAUAAAACCACUUCAAAAUAAAACUAAAUAACAAAAACACUAAUUCAAAGUGAUACAUGCACCCCUAUGUCCAGAGCAGCACUAUUUAACAAAAGUCAAGAUAUGGAAGCAGCCCAAGUAUCCAAGGAUAGAUGAAUGGAUAAAGAAGAUAUGAUCCACACAUAGACACACACACAUACGAAUAUUACUCAGCUCUGAAAUCCUGCCAUUUGGAAUGACAUGGAUGGAGCUAGAGAGUGUAAUGCUAAGUGAAAUAAGUCAGUCAGAGAAAGACAAAUACCAUAUGAUUUCACUCAUAUGUGGAAUUCAAUAAAGAAAAUAAGCAAAGGAAAAAAGAGAGAGAGGAGUCAAGCCAAGAAACAGCUUCUUAACUAUAGAGAACACACUGAUGGUUACCAGAGGGGAAGUGGGUGAGGGAAUGGGUGAAACGAGAUGGGAUUAAGUAGUGCACUUGUGAUGAGGACUGGUUGAUACAUGGAAGUGUUGAGUCACUCUAUUGUGCACUGGAAACUAAUCUCAUACUGUAUAUUGACUAACUGGAAUUAAAAUAAAAACUUUUUUAAAAUGAAAUUAAAUUAAAUAUUAUGAUAUCACUCUUGACAACCAGUUGAUGUUUUCACAAUACUGUUUAAAUCAUAAGGGAUCACUUGGUGUCAGAGCUCUACAGUUCUUCCCUUUCCUCCCUCUGUCCUCCUACAUCCAUGUCCUCCUAUAGCUCAGAACCAUCUGACCUGAAGACUGGGUUCCACUCCAAUCCCUGCAACCAAUGCAGUCUUGACAAUAGACAUGAGAGCACUGGUUAGUCUAAUCCAGGACCCAGUUCCAACUCAACCUUGCAUCCGUAUUCUGAUCACUGGUUUUUACUCUGCUUCUGAACCUACUUUUACCAUUUCUGUUUUUGAUUAACUAGAUUCCUUGUCCUAUAUUUGAGUUCCAUUCUUGAGAGCUGUUUUAAGGAUUUGGAGAUUUCUUUUAAACACGUACGGGAAGAAAAGCAGACCCAGAAAGGACUGUAAUGAAGGAAGGAGUUCUGUACACUCAUGGACCCCUAGCAACCGGAGGCCCAGCAUGCCACACCAGACCACACAGGAAAGCAUCGUUGUCAGGUGGCAGAGGAAGCGAGGUAGAAACUUGGACAAGAGACUUUACUGUGGUUUCUGAGGGAAGGAACGA